GACCAGACUCCUACGGGAGGCAGCAGUGGGGAAUAUUGGGCAAUGGGCGCAAGCCUGACCCAGCGACGCCGCGUGAGGGAAGACGGUCUUCGGAUUGUAAACCUCUUUCAGCAGGGAAGACAAAAGGACGGUACCUGCAGAAGAAGCCACGGCUAACUACGUGCCAGCAGCCGCGGUAAUACGUAGGUGGCAAGCGUUAUCCGGAAUUACUGGGUGUAAAGGGUGUGUAGGUGGCAUGGCAAGUCAGAAGUGAAAGCCCGGGGCUCAACCCCGCGGACUGCUUUUGAAACUGUCAGGCUGGAGUACAGGAGAGGUAAGCGGAAUUCCUAGUGUAGCGGUGAAAUGCGUAGAUAUUAGGAGGAACACCAGUGGCGAAGGCGGCUUACUGGACUGUAACUGACACUGAGGCACGAAAGCGUGGGGAGCAAACAGGAUUAGAUACCCGGGUA
Molecule: ribosomal RNA, 449 nt
Filed under: uncultured bacterium
Lineage: Bacteria
Description: bacterial SSU rRNA
Rfam family: Bacterial small subunit ribosomal RNA
Source: RNAcentral